CGGCGUCUGAGGGCUUCGUGCCCAAAGUGCUAUGCUUCGGCCGGCAAAAAACAGUCAACUCAGAACUGGCACGGACCGGGGGAAUCCGACUGUCUAAUUAAAACAAAGCAUUGCGAUGGCGCUGGUCGGUGUUGACGCAAUGUGAUUUCUGCCCAGUGCUCUGAAUGUCAACGUGAAGAGAUUCAUCAAAGCGCGGGUAAACGGCGGGAGUAACUAUGACUCCCCUUGCUUGAGCCAUGUGCAGCGGCCAGGCUCUACCCGUGUUCCUCGGAGCACGGGGUUGUUCGGGUCCCUCUGCCCAGUCAUCUCAGAGUGAUAUCCUUCGCUUCUCUUAUAGCUUCCGGGGGUAACGCCAGCAGGGCCUGGAAUUGCCCUGCCUACCCGGAAGUGGGCUCGCUACCAGCCCUUCUUCUUGGGCUUUAGCACCCCUAGAGCUGGGCUUGUCCUGUCCUGCUUCUGGGUGGAGUUAAAAACCUGGCCCAUGGAACAUCUCUUGGGCGGGGGUCCGCUUGGCCUCAUCUGGCCCUGUGGCUCCCGGCACUUUAAGAGAAACAGGCUCUAGCCAAAUGCCUCGUCAUCUAAUUAGUGACGCGCAUGAAUGGAUUAACGAGAUUCCCACUGUCCCUAUCUA
RNAcentral lists this non-coding RNA (631 nucleotides) under Ixodes scapularis (black-legged tick). Its description in RNAcentral is "Eukaryotic large subunit ribosomal RNA". It matches the Rfam family "Eukaryotic large subunit ribosomal RNA", at positions 2049 to 2351 of the family's 3401-position model. The record is from Rfam by way of RNAcentral. Lineage: Eukaryota; Metazoa; Arthropoda; Arachnida; Ixodida; Ixodidae.